UGUGUCAACAAGAUCGAAGGGAGCACGUAAGAGAGAAUCCGAACAUUUUAGUGGUUUUAUUUCAAUGAAUUUAAGAAUACGGAUUGAAUUUAAUGUUUUGAGGUAUGCGAGAAGAAAUCGCCGCGGCAGUCGUGUUUGUGACACGGCUUAUUCGACAAAAUGGUAGCCUUUCGGAGGGCAAGGUAGACGACUUUUCAAGUUGUUUAUCCGCCAUUUUGGUAGAAAAAUUUAAGAAUCAUUGGUACAGAGAUAGGCCGGCUAAGGGACAAGGAUUCAGAUGUAUCCGUAUAAAUCCAUCGGAACCGAUUGACCCGGUCCUUGAAAAAGCUGCGAGUGACGCCGGAUUAGAAUGUGCGGAGUUGCUUUUACCUGUAGAAAUGACACUAUGGGUCGACCCCGAGGACGUUUGCUGCAGGUUUGGCGAGAUGCACGGAUCAUCAGUUUCUAUGUACACACUUGCAACCACCAAGGAUGGAAACCUGGAGAACCGGGCCCACGUCAUCAACAUCGAUGAAAUCAUGGAGAAGGAGCGAGAACGACAUAACCAGAUGGUAAACAUUGUGACAACUCGCAGUACCUCUCAGUGCCGUCCUCAGCAGUUCUCUCGGGGACUUUACUACGGUAAGACAGCAAACUUCUACAGCAAGCACCAGCACAACUUCUACAACAACCAGGCCUUCAGCUCAACGAACCGUCAGCGACGUACAUCAGAGGAGGAGUCACAGGUGAACGGGAAACGGGUCUCUCCUGAUCAUGUCACUGAAGUGCGGCAGCAGUUCAUGGACCAGGUAAACAAUGCUGCAGGGAAGUCCGCCUCGUCUUCACCAGCAAAACAACCACCCACCAAGUCAACGGAAAGCUGUGUCAAUCAAACUAAGGAAAACCAGAACAGUAAUAAGACUGUGAAAGCAGGUGAGAAUUUGAAUAAGGCAACCAAGGUGCCAUGUGGAGCUACCACAACUGAGGACAAGAAAAAGGUUAGUUGUCAGUCAGCUACCAAGUCAAAAUCCUCGGCAGAAAUUACGUCAUCUUCCACCACUCCAUCAGCAUCAUCUUCUAGCUCAUCAACAUCGACGUCAUCAUCGACGUCUGUGCCAUUAUUGGCGGCGCCAGGUAGCUACAAUCAGGGACAGAAACGUGGUACUGACAACAAGGCAAGGAGUAACGGGGCGUAUCCUGGCAACACAGCCUCAUCAACAGGCUCCACCAAUGCCCACAACAAAGGCAGCUAUCAUGGCAACGGAAAUUACCAGAAAUCGUACCAUAGCAAGGGAGAUAACUACCACUGGAAUAAAGGCAGCACAGGCAGCACCAAUGGGAAUGGCGGGGCAAAGCAUGCUCCAAAGUUCCACUGAUAAAGUAUUUCGUGAAUGUGUAAUAUUAUUGAUCUAUUUAUAGAAUUGGAUUGUAUGAUGUGAUAGAAUUCAUGUUUCUUAUUGUUUCCAGUUAAAUUUUACUUAAAAUAGAUUUCUUUGAUGUUUUAGCAUUUAUGUUAUGAAAAGACUGGCAGAAUUAGAUUCACAUUUGGUCCUUUUUCUAAAUGUAACCUUGGAGUUGUAACCAUUGGCGUAAUAUUACUAUUGCUGUUCUUGCAAUAAUCAGAACAAUUUUCCUUUUUGUCAAAUAUUUGAAUUAGUUCAUAACUUUUGCUUUUGACAUUCUGUGUUAUUUGAAGAAGAUUUUCCCUAAAGUUUUCAUAUAAAGACAUGAAAUGUUUUAAGGAUAUUUUUUCAUCAAUUCUUUUAGUCAGACUCUUUGAAUUAAUUGUUUAUUUGUAAGUUGCUGAUUGUUGUAAUGAAAUGAUAUUCUGUUUUAAAGGAAUGAGUGCCACUUUACAUGUAAUUACUUAUCACAAGUAUGAAAAUGAUGUUUAAUGGUUUGAUCAUAAUGUUAUACAGUAAAACCUUGUUAAUCUGGGCUCUGGUAAUCGGGACACCUGCUGUUUUCAUUGGUAGGAUACUAUUGGUUUGUCCAAAAAUACUCGUGCCGGAACCAGAAGAGUUUUAUAGGUAAAUUCUUUAUAAAAUAUAACUGGAAAUCAUGUCUAGAUGUCAAAUGUACAAAGUGUUGGUUUAAAUUUUCAGACAUGUACACUGCCCAAUGGGGCUAUAACUAUAACAAGUUAUUAUAAUCAAUUUUUUAACAAGCGCCCUAUUAAGGGCAGUUUUUUCAAAAGUAUGAAAUCAAUUAAGUCUAGAAAUACCAAAGUCAGGUUUUGCUCAUCAAAACCUUUGUAAAACUGACCAUUUGCUCAGUUAAGGAGGUUUUUCUGAGAGUCCGUGGCAGUGGGUGCAGUUUGGUGCUGUGUAAGUAUUGGGGAAUAACGUUUAGUGAGUUAUGUAGGAAGGUAACCAGCUUAUUUUUCAAUAUUGUAGAAUUAUCGCAUUUGUUUUUAAUUAAGUAUGAGGUACAAAUUUGUUUUUGGCAGCAUAUUUUUCCUGAUCACAAGAUUUUGAAUCAAAGUAAUUUCAUCGACAUUUGGUACAUAUCAUUCCCAUAUAUAAUAUGCCAGUAAUGGUUUAUGUGUUAGCUGAGGUCAAAGGUUGCUCAGUAAUAGCACACUACAAGUGUUCAUCUUCGUCUCACAAUCUCUGUUUGUGAUUAUUGUGUGUGCUACCAAGUAGAUUAAUUCUGACACCCUGUACAUGUGUGUAGACGUUUAUUGCUGAUUUACCAGUUUAGUGAGAAAAUGUACUCGAAAUCUCAAAGUUCAAUAGAGUCAUCAUAAAAUGGUACAAAUUUGGCAAUUUAUCAUUUAUAUUAGAUUAUUAAAAAAAAAAUAUGUUAAGCUUUUAUUUAAAGUUUGUGACUCGUAUAUUUUAUUUCUCUGUUUUCAUUUGAAAAAGCAAUUGUGUGAUGAUGUUUUUUUGACAAAAUUUGUAUAAUGAUUUUAUGUUAACGAUGCAGGAAACUUGAAGAAUAUAUCUGACACACUUGGUUGAACUUAGAGAAUAUAUCUGACACACUUGAUUGAACUUUGAGAAUAUAUCUGACACACUUGGUUGAACUUUUUAGACAACCUGUUUCUCAUGAUUUUUGAUUUUCCAUAAGAUAAAGAUCUGUGUUGUCUGAGGUUUCCCGGUUUAGAGCACUGGAGGUAAAGAUCUGUGUUGUCUGAGGUUUCCCGGUUUAGAGCACUGGAGAUAAAGAUCUGUGUUGUCUGAGGUUUCCCGGUUUAGAGCACUGGAGAUAAAGAUCUGUGUUGUCUGAGGUUUCCCGGUUUAGAGCACUGGAGAUAAAGAUCUGUGUUGUCUGAGGUUUCCCGGUUUAGAGCACUGGAGGUAAAGAUCUGUGUUGUCUGAGGUUUCCCGGUUUAGUAGUGAUAGAGUAUAUAUAUACAUUAUUGUAUCUAUUUAGUUGGUACAGUCCUACAACACAGGGAGGCUACCAGUGUAAGACCAAUAUAUUAACAACUGCAUUUUAUAGGAUCAUUUCCAAAAACAACAACAAAAAAACAGUGUAAACAACAUAUUUUUUUAGUGUGCUGGUCUAUUUUUUUAUGUGAAUCCCAUUAACGCCUUUCAUAUAAAAUAAAAGGCUUGCAGUAAUUUGCAGUUCUUUGCUCGCUUAAAUAAUACUUGAAGUGUAAAACAAAUUAAAUAUGAUAACAGACUUUUAUCUGAAAAUUGCAUUUCCACUUAGAUUUGAAGACCAACAGAAUUGACCGUACCAAUGAUACAGUGGUUGAUCAUUUAUAACUUAAUCAUGGCUGAGAAGUAAACUAAUUGUAUCCACCAAAUACAGGCUGGAUGGAGUUGGGGCUCUAGAAAUAUUGUACAUUUCUAAACCGACGAUAAUACAUGCUUCAGUGUUAAUAAUGUAAUGGGUCAAUCUGGCCACCUCUGUUUGACCACUGGAUGUUGUGUUCAUUAACAUGGGACACUCCUCUUGGUAUACUAAUGGGGGGGGGGACAAACCGUUGUAUGUCCUUUGAACUUUAACCUUUGACCUAACAACUUGAUUUAAUCUUUGGCCAUAUAACUUUAAAUUUGAUGUGCAUGUUUCUUUUUUUAAUAAAUUUGAUCACUAAUAAUGAAAUGAUAUUGCAUUUUAAAACCAUAAUGUGAACUUGACAAGUUGUUAGUUUGUGAUAAGCCAUGGCAGUUUUUGAUACCUUUGCAUUGUCUAACCUCAUAUUCUCAAUUUUAGUGUUAACCAGUAGAAACAGUUAGAGUGACCACCUGUCAAGUAUAGACCACACCCACACAACUUCUCAUAAUACAUGUAAAAAAUAAAGAUCAAAGUGAUAUUUUCUUUUACUGAAAAAAAUUGAUUGUGAUAUUCAAGGAAUUAUUUUACCUCAGUGAUUCAGGGUUUUGAACCAACAGUAAUGUGUUGAUAUUUUAUAAUUUGAGGUUUGCUGUAAAGGGCUGUUGAUGUAUGUUAUUGAACCAGUAGUGAUGUGUUGAUAUUUCAUAACUUGAGGUUUGGUAUAAAGGGCUGUAGAUGUAUGUUAUUGAACCAGUAGAUUGAAUGUGAUAUAUUUGUGUUAUUUUGAUUUAUUGUAUUGAGUUGUAUCGAUCUAGCAUUACUAUUGUGAUAGAUGCAUGGUUUUUGUGAAUUGUAAUUUAUAUAUGUAAUUUGUUUGAUUACCAUUUUAUAAGCAAUUCUAAUUAGAUUCUGUUAAUUCAAUGUUAUGUUUCCUAGGUAUAAAAUAGUGAUGGACUUGGAAGUGUUCAGAUUGGAGGACUGAUAAUGUGCUACUGUAUUUGCAUUUUUCAUAAUGUUAAAGAAACAAUAAUUUGUAGUUCAUGAUAUAUAUUUGUUUCAUAUCCUGAAAAAUGAUUAAAUUCCAAUGUGAUUCGUUGAUGAAAACAUAUUAUUGUUAGUCACAUGAAGGAGAUCUGAACAAAACGUUGCUGGAAAGGUUGUGUACUGACAAGUUUAGAAAAUUGGAGGGUGGUUUAAAAUAGUCCAGAUUCCUAGUUAUAAGGUAAUGGUGUAGACACAAUUGAUCACUUUAUCUUUUGUUCGACAGUGCUACUAUUGCCAGUAUAUUGCUGUGUUCAGAUUUGUCAAUGUUGUGAUUGUUAUGCAUGCAUUUAAAACAUCUAAGAGGCCCAACUUAGGUGGCCAGCCAUUUAUAUCUCGACUGCCAUCAUUAUUAUCACUCAAAGUGCUAUCCAUUUAUCCUAUUAUAUAUUUGAGAAAUUUAAUCUUAUCAAAAUAUUUGCAUUCCCUACCCCAUCUGAAGAUAUAAAUAUACCAUUGUACAGAAAGUAUGUCCACUAAGUGGACAUGUUCUAAAAAAGAUUAUACAUGUAUGUACAUUCAUCAAAGGAAGGUAAUGGGGUAAAUUAGAUAUAUAUGAUGCCCUACACUAGUGUUGUGUAGAUGGUCAAUGUCUAUGAUACUGAGAAAGUUUCUAGCCACUCGAUGUGAGAGAUACAUAGGAAAGACACCAUUCCCAGUUGUUAAUGUCAGCAGGUUUUGCCAUUUUAUCACCAAAUAGCAUAGUAAUGUGCAAAAUAUGAAUCAUUUUCAUUUUUGGAUGGCAUUUUGAAUGAAGGCUAACAAUGCCAAAGAUCCUCUAGGUUAAGUUAUACAUAUUUGGAAAUUUACAUUAAUUUAUUUUUAUUGCAAAUUUUGUUAAUUUUCUAUUUAGUUGUUUGGAACGAAAUGGAGCAUCUGUUUUUAGCAAGAACAGAUGGUAAAUCUUGGUUUCAAAUUUGUGUUUUUUGUUUGUGUGUGCAAUGCAGAAGAUAAGUUUUAUGUAGAUUAAUUAGUGAUGUCUAUAGUACAAUAAUAUAAUUAAUUGAAUUGCUGGGUUCUGUUGGAAUGUGUUUUUCUGAAAGUCAAUGAGGAUGUGUAUCAUUGACUAUUCGGGUGAUAAUUAUUAGAAAAAAUGUUUUUUUGACUAUUUUAUUGUGUAUCCACCACCUUUCGGUAUUUUAAGAAUGCGUAAUCCUUUUAACUAAUGGAGAAAUAUAUGGCUCUGUGAAGAAAUUUGACAUCUGUAUUAACAUGGGUCCUGUCCAGCAAUCAGACAACUACUGUCAGUAAUCCAUGAUUUGACCAAAAGUAAAAUAAACCCAGAAAAAUAAAUUAAUAUCAAGGUCACUUUAAUAUGCAUUUUGAAAAUAACAUGAUUACUAGGGUCUGCAGGGUAUUUAUAUAUCCCUUGUUUAAAGGGUUUUUGUAAUGUUGAUCACAUCUACUAGUUUCUCCAUUAAAAUUGUUCUCGAUUGUAGCAUUGUGCUGAAGUCUGCUGACAAAUAGCAUUGAGAAUCGAUGUCAACUAUUGUAUCUAUAAAUAGGAGUGAGGCAUUACACAGCGACAUAAGGAAAUACAGAAGCAUGGUAACAGGCUGACAACAGUUAAGGACCUAGGGGAAACGCUUGAAAUGAUGCUUGCUAUUAUCAUAUGUUGUGAAUUUGUAUUGGAUGAUUUGUACUUAGUUGGGAAUUUUCAAGAUAUUUGUAUGUACAAGGCAACUACUUCAGAUCUGCAGGAAAUUAUAUUCCUUUAACAAAAUUUUGAAUUGUAUAUAUAUUUUAUGCAAUUAUUUGUUUAUAUUUAAAUGGAAUAACUAAAUUAAUUAUUGUAUUAUUAAUGUUUGUGUAAACAACUGUUUGGCAGUGCUAGAUAGACCGGUUAUUUUUGGAUCCCCGUACCACUGUCAAAAACUGUAUCUACACAUAGGAAACUGUCUAGCAUAUGACUACAGCUGGGAUAAAGCAUUUCUGAAAAGGAAAUAAUAAUAUUCAUGAAAUAAGCAAAAUGUCAUUAACAAUAGAGUUCUGAGUGUAGAAAGUUAAGUGGGACUGGACCAGGAUCAACAAUAGAGUUCUGAGUGUAGAAAGUUAAGUGGGACUGGACCAGGAUUAACAAUAGAGUUCUGAGUGAUGAAAGUUAAGUGGGACUGGACCAGGAUUAACAAUAGAGUUCUGAGUGUAGAAAGUUAAGUGGGACUGGACUAGGAUUAACAAUAGAGUUCUGAGAGUAGAAAGUUAAGUGGGACUGGACCAGGAUCAACAAUAGAGUUCUGAGUGUAGAAAGUUAAGUGGAACUGGACCAGGAUCAACAAUAGAGUUCUGAGUGUAGAAAGUUAAGUGGGACUGGACUAGGAUUAACAAUAGAGUUCUGAGAGUAGAAAGUUAAGUGGGACUGGACCAGGAUCAACAAUCGAGUUCUGAGUGUAGAAAGUUAAGUGGGACUAGACCAGGAUCAACAAUAGAGUUCUGAGUGUAGAAAGUUAAGUGGAACUGGACAAGGAUCAACAAUAGAGUUCUGAGUGUAGAAAGUUAAGUGGAACUGGACCAGGAUCAACAAUAGAGUUCUGAGUGUAGAAAGUUAAGUGAGACUAGACCAGGAUUAACAAUAGAGUUCUGAGUGUAGAAAGUUAAGUGGGACUGGACCAGGAUUAACUGUGAGUUACUUCAGGUUGUUACUAUUGCUCUAACCUACUGAGAUACCCAGUCAACGAAAGUGUCCUGGCUCAAAUGUUUACAUGCCUAAAUGAAAUUAAGGGGAGGUUACUGUAGUUACCACAGUGCAUUGGGACAGGGAUUCUUAAGGGGAGGUUACUGUAG
Molecule: unclassified non-coding RNA, 7533 nt
Filed under: Mizuhopecten yessoensis (Yesso scallop)
Lineage: Eukaryota; Metazoa; Mollusca; Bivalvia; Pectinida; Pectinidae
Description: uncharacterized protein DDB_G0271670-like, transcript variant X1
Source: RNAcentral